This is a long non-coding RNA of Loxodonta africana (African savanna elephant), 5803 nucleotides long. RefSeq lists it as uncharacterized. The record is from RefSeq and is a predicted model, not a curated record. The transcript is spliced from 2 exons. NCBI's taxonomy places the organism in Eukaryota, Metazoa, Chordata, Mammalia, Proboscidea, Elephantidae.
UGAACUGUACAGGGGAGGAAAAAUGCCAAUUAAAUUGCACAAUCUCCAGCUUGGAGGGCUGUACUUUAGCAAACCUAACUGUAACCAGAUUUUGAUCCCCAAUUUUUUAAGGCAAAGAAAAACACUUUUUUUGUUAUUGUUGUUUUUAAGAAAAUGGCAAGAAGUUCAUUCGGGCUGUCUGCUUCUUUGUUCAACCUAAGAACUCUUAAAAUCAAGAGCUCUAGGGAGCUGAACACAAGAGGCAGAAAAGGGCCGCCAAUGUCCUGGAAGCUGUAACCGCGGUAACAGUACUUUUGCUAAAUUAGAACAGUUGUUUAAAUUCUCUGGUGAUCUCACUUGCUCUUUGCCACAGCUCUGCAGAACAGGCAGGACGGUCUAUACUGUGGCCAUUGGGCAGUCAAGGCAUUCGGGUAGGAGCGCUUAACUGCCUCGCUCACCACCUAUCCCCGCGACAGGACCCGGGAGCUGGCGCGCCUUCCCAUUGGCCCUGAGCGGGAAGCCCCGCCCCACAUCACGGAGCCAAUCACCGAAGGAGCGCGCGCAAGGUCAGGAUUACCAAAUCCAACCCCUUUCAACCCCAAGACCCACUCCGUAGAUACGGUGGAGGGAAUAGAGAAGAAUCGAGAUGUUCAGACCCCGGAACGGGGCCGUGGAAGGCGGACGAGAACCGCUGGUAGUACCUGCUUUAGUGUUAGCGUCACUGGCGGUAAACGAGAAGCCGCCAUGACUGUCAGCACGUCCCGCCGGAGCCGCAACGCGCAGGAACGGAAGUGGGGGCACGGCCAGGGGGCGGGGCGAGCUCGGGUGCCUGGGAGACAGCCUGCGAACGGUGCGCUGGCGCCCGGCAGUUGGGACUGAAUCCCGCUCGUGUGGGCUCCUUGCCGGCUUUGUAGCCUUGUGCAAGAAGUGUCACCUGUCUGAAUAUUCUCCUCCGUGAAAUGUUUUAAUAGUUCCUGAGUCAUAAGUUGUGAGAAUGAAAUAAGAAUGGUAAGGCACUUAGCACAGUGCCCGGACGUGGUUAAGUUUCUUAAAAGGAAGUUAAUAUUGAGGAGGAAGGAGUAGAAGCCCUCUACUAUUUGAAAGGUUGGUUCUAACCGCCCCGCCCCGAGGCGCCUGGGAAGACAAACCUGAUGAUCUGCUUCCAACAGGUUGCAGCCACGAAAAUCCUAUGGAGCACAGUUCUGCUCGAUACUGGAGGGGUGGGAAUUGACUCCACGGCAGGUGACAACAUGUUAUUUUAAUUUCCACUUUUUAAACGUGUAUAAAUACUAAAAUCUAAAAUGUUAAUUUUUUUUUCUCCCGUGCUCAAACUGCUCUUUUCUAUUGCAAGCAUUUUUCAGUAGUAGGUAGUCCUCAUGAUCAUUUGUAAUGGCUACCCAGCAAGACUUUAAGUGGCUGCACCGUUGUGGUUUUAAACAUUUCUCAUUAUUUAUAAUGAAAAACUGAACACCCUUGCGCCUCAAGCCUUUAUUUCUUCAUAGUUGUUUUUGCCUUCUCCCCACAAUACACACCAUACACCCUUAGGUUAUAGUACUGGAAGUGGGGUUAGUUUAUCUUGGCAGUAUUACUUUUCCAAAAAGGAGUGUACUGAAUUAAAAUGUAACCAAGAACGUUCCCUCAAUUACCCGUUUAUCGAGUGCUAACUUUAUUUAGGGCAGUGGUUUAAGCGCUGGAGCUCUAGACGCAGAUUGCCUUGCUUGUUAGAAUCCUGCUGUCCUCUUCGUAGCUGUUCUGGGUCAUUAACCUCACCUGGUCAGUUUUCUCCUCUGUAAAGUAAAGCAGGAAUGCCUGGGUGGUGCAAAUGGUUGUGCUUGGUUGCUAACUGGCACCUCGGAAGAAAUGUCUGGCAGUCUAAUUACAAAAAAAUCAGCCAUUGAAAACCCUGUGAGGCACAGUUGUACUCUGACACACAUGGGAUCACUGAGUUGGAAACUGCCGCUUAUCAGGGCAAUUGAUACUGGUUUAAAAUGAAAUUAACAUAUAUUUCAGAGUUGUGUUUUACAUAAUGCACUCAGAAUAGGACCUCACAUAUCAGUACUCUGCAUUCGUUAGCUCUUCUGAACAUUGUGAUGCAAAACCCAAGGUCACAUUGUCAAUUAUGUAUUUUUCAAAUUUUAAUAAAUUAGCAAUAAAACUAACAGCUGAUUGAUUUUGUACUGGUAACGUUAAAUAUCCCUCUCCACUUUUGGUUACGCUUACUUUGUGUCUGUUCUUGACUGGUGCAUUUAUAAUUAGGACCUUUACUCUUAAUUUUAUAUGGGCUAUUUGCAAAGUUGGAAACCCUCGUGGCGUAGUGGUUGAGAGCUACAGCUGCUAACUAAAAGGUCUGCAGUUCGAAUCCACCAGGCGCUUACUGGAAACCCAAUGGGAGCAGUUCUGCUCUGUCCUAUAGGGUUGCUGUGCGUUGGAACCUACUCAAUGGCAUUUGGUUUUUAUUUGCAAAGUUUGUUGUUUAAAUUUUUAUUUUGGUCAUUUUAUUUAUCCAUACAGAAGCUCUAAGUCUCUAUCCAAAUCACAUGUAUUUUUUUCUUUCGAUGCUUUUUCAAUUUCAUCUUCAACCCCCCAGAUUUUGUUACCCAGUUUUUUUCAUUGUCUUGUUAAUCGUUUUAUUGUGCUUUAAGUGAAAGUUUACAGCUCAAGGUAAUUUCUCAUAUAAAAAUCUAUACAUAUAUUAUUGUGUGACACUAGUUGCAACCCCUGUAAUGUGACAGUACACUCUCCCUUUCCACCCCAGGUUUCCCGUGUCCAUCCAACCAGCUCCUGUCCCUUUUUGCCUUCUCAUUUUGCCUCUGGACAGGAGCUGCCCAUUUAGUCUCAUGUAUCUACUUGAGUUAAGAAGCCCUGUCUUCACGAGUAUCAUCUUAUGUCUUAUAGUCCAGUCUAAUCUUUGCCUUAAGAGUUGGCUUCAGGAAUGGUUUCAGUUCUGGGCUAACAGAGUCCAGGGACCAUGUCUUCCAGGGUCCUUCCAGUCUCAGUCAUAGUCUGGUCUUUUUACCAUAAUUUGAGUUCUGCAUCCCACUUUUUCCUGCUGCAUUAGGGACUCCCUGUUGUGUUCCCUGUCAGGGCGGUCCUUGGUGGUAGCUGGGCACCAUCUAGUUCUGGUCUCAGGCUGAUGGAGUCUCUGGGUUAUGUGGCCCUUUUGUCUCUUGGGCUAGUGUGUGUCUUUGGUGGUCUUCAUUCUCCUUUGCUCCAAGUGGGUUGGGACCAACUGAUGCAUCUUACAUGGAUGCUCUUGAGCUUUUACACUUUUAAUUUUUAAAAUAUUUACUUGAUCUAGAAUUUACUUUGGUUCAUGGUGUGUUGUGGAUCUGUUCUUUUCCAGCUGCUAAACUGUAAUCUCAACACCAUGUAUUAAGUAAUCCAUUUCCUUGGGCUGUGUGAUGCCUCUCUGGCUAUGUUAGAAAUUUAGGGUCUGAGAAAUCUGUCCAGUAUUGUUUCUUCUUGAACCAGUAUCAUGUUGCUUUUAAUUUCUGUUGCUGUAUUUUAUGUUUUAUUAUCUGUCAGGACUACUCCCCUAUAGUUUAUCAGAUUCUUCUAUUGUGCCUUUAGUGUUCUGUAUGACUGUAGAAAUGUUUUCUGUCAUUUUCCUCCACAUCAUCUUAGGAUCUUCAGUGGAAUUUAGCUGAAUCUACAAAUUUUACAUUUUUACACAUUUCAUCUUCUUGUCCAGAAACAUUCACUCAUUCCAGACACUAGUCAUACUGUCAGGAAUCAUAUAUGCUCCUUACUCUUAAAAAGACUCAUGCUUUGGGCAGGAAGAUAUUAGUCAAACAUAGUAUUAUAGAUGACAUAUUCACAUUCAUACAGUGGGAGCUCAUUCUUCCCAGAGGGCAUACCCGGGCUCGGUGAUGGUCAGGCAAGCAAAUUAGGUAAGAGGAUUCCAGACAAUACAUGGAACACUGGCAGAUUCCAGGGAUUCCCUGUGACCAGGUCACAGUGUGGUGGGGAUGCUGGGAACAAUGAUACAGGAAAGUCAGGCAAGAGCCUCCUAGGUCAUGCCAAGAAGCUUGCCUAAUAUCCAUUUCACAACAGGGAGCUCUGACAGGUUUCUCAGCUGGAGACAUUUGAGGAAAAAUCUCCUUUGGUAUUGUAAGAUGAAGAAAGCAAAGACAAGUGAUUAGUUGGGUUACCAUUAAAGUAGUGUAAGCUAGAGAUUAAAAGAGCCUCUGCUGCUGUGUGGUCAGAGGAGAGGAGAAGGGAUGAAAGGAUAGAAGUGUCCACAAGUUGGAUCAGACAAGAUAAUUAAUUUGGGGUGUAGAUGGAGGUGGGGAGGGGAGUAAGGCGCAGGUAGCAGGUUGAGCUCCAAGUCUGUAAAGAGGGUGGUUGUUGGGGUGGUUAACCUGGAUGGGGAAUGCUGGAGAAGGAACUUGGGAGUAGAGCAUUAGAACACAAGAGCUGCAUUUUGAACAUGAUACAUCUGAAGAGUGUCACCCAGGUAGAGCUCCACCAGACAUCUAAAUAUAAUUGAGAAUGCAAAACAAUGGCUUUACUGGACCUCUGGGUGGAGAUUUGCAAGUCUUUUGCUUAGAUGAUGGUUGAGGCCAUAGAAGCAGUGAAGUUGUCCAUAGUGAGAAUAUUUUGUCCUAAAUACUGAAGUCAAAAAACAUGCCAUCCAUUCCUUAAAUGUUAGCAUUUAUUUGGCCAAGGAGACUGUAUAGUCAGCGUGAGCAAAAGACGGGAAAACCUGAAGAGCACAGUCAGCUUCAAUAUGGCAAAUUGAUUUUUCUCCACUCCGGCAAGCCCAGAUGGUAGCCCAGACCCUUGGUAACCUGCCCUGCGUGACUCAGGCAUGUCAUAGUUCUCACCCCGACCCCAUCAGUUCCUGGUAGGUGUCCUGUGACUCUGCUCCCGUGCUUCCCAAACCCUUUGCCAUUAUAGCACAAGUUGAAAUGGUACCCUGGGGUAGCUAUAAUAACCUGCUUACUGGAAUUCCGACUGUCCUAGACCCCGUGAGCUACCCCAGGGCCAAGGGAUUCACUGUUUUGGCACACCAUUUGGUAAGCUCUGGCUUAGACAGCCCUGUUUAAAGGUAGACGUGAUAGUUGUAGCAUUGUCAUAAUAUUGGUGCCUUUCCCUACCAGACCCAUCCCUGCUGGAGGAUUAACCUUCCUGCCCCACUGAAGUUGGCUGAGCCUUGGGACUUGCUUUAGCCAAUGAAAUCCACAAGGCCAGCAUAUCACCGACAGGGACUGUUCCAUCAGCCUUGGUCCUGGAAUGAAGAGGACGUGGAGGAGUGUCAUAGUUCACCCACCACGGACAUGAACAGAAGUGAGAAUCCAACCCUUACUCUAGUAAACCACUGAGGUUGUGGGGUCAGACUAGCAUAGCAUAAACUAGUGACAGCUGACUGCUGUGGCAUAAACUCAUUCCCUGAACACACCUUUUUACACUCCUCUACAGUAUUCUAUUAAGAAUGGCCACAGAUUACAUCAAUAGUGGUAUAUUUUUUAAUAAGUUUCAGAAUAUAAGCUGCAUAGCUUUUUAGAAUAAAAAAUAAUGAUAUAACUUCAGGUACAUGCUUUAGGACACUUGGCUAAACAACAAGCAAUCUGUGUCUUUGAUGACCACCACAAAAGGUGCCAAAUUCACAGUGUAACAUGAUAAGACACAUGGAAAUAGAUGAUCACAUCAUGGCGUGUUGCCUACAAAAGAAUGUUUUGACAAUCAGGACAUUAAAUAGAACACAGCACGCAGUUUCAAGUAGUCAAGCUCUGCUUCCUGGCCAAGUAAAAAACUCUAAAAACCAGAGGCAUUUUGACUGGAAAAAAAAAAAAAAUAGAUGUAGCUGCUUAGUUCUUCUGGA